This 1908-nucleotide unclassified non-coding RNA is filed under the name Zea mays. Its description in RNAcentral is "misc RNA Zm00001eb307580". The record is from RNAcentral. Lineage: Eukaryota; Viridiplantae; Streptophyta; Magnoliopsida; Poales; Poaceae.
CACCGCCACCGCCAGGGGAUAUUUCCUGGCCGAUGGCUAUCUUCUGGAGGAUGCGACCUCACAGUGUCUCUACCUCCCUCCCAUGCUUCCCAUGGCCACCGUGCCCCUGGUGUUUUCCUGGCCGCGCCCUCUUCCUCCUCGGCGCAGCUCUUUCUCUCUCUGUUACUCAGCUCCCCACGCGCGCCUGCAUCCCUGCUCGGAUUUUGUUCGUGCCGAGCUCAAUUUCUGGCCAUGCACGGGCGCAGCCGGAAGGCGCUGGUGGCCGUGGCCGCGAUGGUUGGGGGCCGGCCGUCGUGUGCCCCUGCAGCGCACCCUCGUCUUCUCCCCAGCGUCCGGCUGCAGCCCAGCUCGGAGUUUCCUCCGUCCAUCUCCAGCUCGUCGAAUCCCCUCUGCUCACACAUGGCGCUCAGAUCUUCAUCGGCCAUGGCGCCUCGUCCUCGCCUCCUCCGGUUCCUCGCUCCAUGGCGCUCGGCUGCUUCUACUCCCUCCCCUGUUCGCCCAUGGAAGCCGCGCCCUUGCCGAGAUUCUCCCUGCGUCGCGUUCCGAGCUCCCGUGCUCGCGCGCAGCCCCAUGCGUCGGCUCCAGCUCAGCCACCGGCCCACGUUUUCCCCCAACCCUGGCGUGCAUCGCCAUCCCUCGUCAGCAUGGAGAUCCUCUUGUGGCUGCUCCACCUCGACCAAGGACGCAGCGUCUGCAUGACCCUCGGUUCUUGCGUGCCUUGGAUUUGUGGCGCCCCUGCCUCUGCUCCAUUUUUCCCCUGCUCGCUGCAAACAGCCGAGCAGCUCGGCGCGAAGCUCCCUCGUGUACGCACCCAGCCGGAGUCCCUUCCACCCGUGCAGCUCCCUGUUGCGUCACUCGCCGGUGACGGUAGGGCUGACCGUUGGCAGCUCUCCAUCCUUUGGUUGUGCUCGCUGCUGGCCCUGUGGAGAGCUCCUUGCUUCAUCCUCGCCAUGGACACCAUCCUGCACGCGCACGCCGGUUGCUGUCACUUGUGUCAGUUUGCCAAACUUGUAGCUCUAUAUAUGUCGGCGUUUCGAGACCGGGGUCACUAGACCGACGAGUGAAAUGUCGCCGCGUGCCCCAGUCUAGAUUGGUCGGCACGAGACGGAGCGCGAAGGGGGAAGGAGACGGGCGUGAGAGGUGGAAAUCCCGCGGCCUUCGUGUUUGUCCCGCGCCCAGGUUGGGUGCGCUUGCAGUAGGGGGUUACAAGCGUCCACGCGGGAGGGAGUGAGCGGCCUCACGCGAGCGCCUGCCCCGUCCUCUUCCCCGCGCGGCCAACCCUCUGUAAGAGGGCCCUGGUCCUUCCUUUUAUAGGCGUAAGGAGAGGAUCCAGAUGUACAAAGGGGAGUGUAGCAGAGUGCUAACGUGUCUAGCGGAGGAGAGCUAGCGCCCUAAGUACAUGCUAUCGUGGCAGCCGGAGAGGCUUUGGCACCCGGUUCGUGUGGUGUCGUGGCCGUCGGAGGAGCGCUGGAGCCUGUCGGGGCUGUCGAGUCCUUGCUGACGUCCUCUUGCUUCCGUAAGGGGGCUGAGAGCCGCCGUCGUCAUAGAGCGUGCGGGGCGCCAUCAUUACUGUCACACCCGGAUUUCGGGGCACCAAGACCCGGGCGCGAACAAUCACCAGGUGUGCUGGGACCAAGUCUCACACAUAUGAUGUAUAGUGGCACAGGAUCGAAUGUCACAUCAUUAUAUAUAACAGGAGUUCUAUACAAAAUAAAUAAUUACAUUAUAAGGAGACAACGGUCCAGCAACCCAAAGUUGACUGGGAGACGACGGCCUAGACCACUCACGAACUCAUCACAGCAUCCUUCAUGCGCCUCAUCCUGUGGUACCUGUUCUUGACCUGUGGGGGGGUGUGAGAUAGCAAGACUGAGCUCACAUACGUUCAUCGCUCAACAAGUUGUGGGGAAU